RNAcentral lists this ribosomal RNA (301 nucleotides) under uncultured bacterium. Its description in RNAcentral is "partial 16S ribosomal RNA". It matches the Rfam family "Bacterial small subunit ribosomal RNA", at positions 509 to 807 of the family's 1533-position model. The record is from RNAcentral.
CAGCAGCCACGGUAAAACGAAGGGGGCUAGCGUUGCUCGGAAUCACUGGGCGUAAAGGGUGCGUAGGCGGGUCUUUAAGUCAGAGGUGAAAUCCUGGAGCUCAACUCCAGAACUGCCUUCGAUACUGGAGAUCUCGAGUUCGGGAGAGGUGAGUGGAACUGCGAGUGUAGAGGUGAAAUUCGUAGAUAUUCGCAAGAACACCAGUGGCGAAGGCGGCAACCUGGCUCAUUACUGACGCUGAGGCGCGAAAGCGUGGGGAGCAAACAGGAUUAGAUACCCCAGUAGUCCCUGUCUCUUAUAC